Molecule: non-coding RNA, 104 nt
Organism: Ictidomys tridecemlineatus (thirteen-lined ground squirrel)
Lineage: Eukaryota; Metazoa; Chordata; Mammalia; Rodentia; Sciuridae
Source: Rfam
GGUCUUUUGUAGUUCAUAAACAUGAUAAUUAGGUUUUCAUGAUAUUGUGUGAGAUGUUCCUUCCUCAAGCCUUUCUAUGAUAUUGGCACAUUUCUGGUCUGACA